UAGGGAAUCUUCGGCAAUGGACGAAAGUCUGACCGAGCAACGCCGCGUGAGUGAAGAAGGUUUUCGGAGCGUAAAACUCUGUUGUUAGAGAAGAACAAGGACGUUAGUAACUGAACGUCCCCUGACGGUAUCUAACCAGAAAGCCACGGCUAACUACGUGCCAGCAGCCGCGGUAAUACGUAGGUGGCAAGCGUUGUCCGGAUUUAUUGGGCGUAAAGCGAGCGCAGGCGGUUUCUUAAGUCUGAUGUGAAAGCCCCCGGCUCAACCGGGGAGGGUCAUUGGAAACUGGGAGACUUGAGUGCAGAAGAGGAGAGUGGAAUUCCAUGUGUAGCGGUGAAAGGCGUAGAUAUAUGGAGGAACACCAGUGGCGAAGGCGGCUCUCUGGUCUGUAACUGACGCUGAGGCUCGAAAGCGUGGGGAGCAAACAGG
This 429-nucleotide ribosomal RNA is filed under the name Gemmatimonadota bacterium. RNAcentral describes it as "Gemmatimonadetes bacterium partial 16S ribosomal RNA". It matches the Rfam family "Bacterial small subunit ribosomal RNA", at positions 355 to 776 of the family's 1533-position model. The record is from RNAcentral. Lineage: Bacteria; Pseudomonadati; Gemmatimonadota.